Molecule: ribosomal RNA, 486 nt
Filed under: uncultured bacterium
Lineage: Bacteria
Description: bacterial SSU rRNA
Rfam family: Bacterial small subunit ribosomal RNA
Source: RNAcentral
GAUGAACGUUGGCGGUGUGCCUAAUACAUGCAAGUCGAACGGAGACUGUAGCAAUACUGUCUUAGUGGCGAACGGGUGAGUAACGCGUUGGUGAUCUGCCUCGAAGUGUGGAAUAACCUCCCGAAAGGGAAGCUAAUACCGCAUAGUCUCUCAAGGUUUAGAAAAUUGAGAGUAAAGGAUUUAUUCGCUUCGAGAGGAGCCUGCGUCCCAUCAGCUAGUUGGUAGGGUAACGGCCUACCAAGGCAAUGACGGGUAGGGGACCUGAGAGGGUGGCCCCCCAAAUGGAACUGAAACACGGUCCAUACACCUACGGGUGGCAGCAGUAGGGAAUAUUAAAAAUGGGCGGAAGCCUGAUCUAGCAACACCGCGUGUGCGAUGAAGGCCUUCGGGUCGUAAAGCAACUUUUUGGAGGGAAUAGGAAGGAAGGUACCUCCAGAAUAAGUCUCGGCUAACUACGUGCCAGCAGCCGCGGUAAGAGUGUGUGUA